CACUCUCCACCCCGCCCGGCUGCUGUCCGUCUCUGUGGGGUGGGGUGGGGGUCGCAUAGCCAACGUGUUCUGAAUGGGUUUCGCAGAAUGAAUUCUAAUCUUAAAUGGGACUGUCACAACUUUAUUUUGAAUUUAGGUGGUGAGCCGGCUGGGCCUGGACUCCCUGUGCCCCUUCAGCCCUAAGGAGCGGAUCAUCGAGUACCUGGUCCCUGAGCGCGGGCCUGAGCGAGGCCUGGGCAGCAAGUCCCUGCGCGCCUUCGUGGGGGAGGUGGGUGCCCGCUCUGCGGCCCCCGGGGGCGGCUCGGUGGCGGCGGCCGC
This 318-nucleotide small RNA is filed under the name Pan troglodytes (chimpanzee). Its description in RNAcentral is "processed transcript". Lineage: Eukaryota; Metazoa; Chordata; Mammalia; Primates; Hominidae. The record is from RNAcentral.